CCCUUAGAUGUCCUGGGCCGCACGCGUGCUACACUGACGCCUACAGCGAGCACUUUCCAGCCCCGAGAGGCGGCUGGUAAUCGGCAAUAGGCGUCGUGAUGGGGAUAGAUCUUUGGAAUUAUGGAUCUUGAACGAGGAAUGCCUAGUAAGCGCAGGUCAUUAGCCUGCGCUGAUUAAGUCCCUGCCCUUUGUACACACCGCCCGUCGCUCCUACCGAUUUCGAGUGGUCCGGUGAAUCUUUCGGACUGCGCGCGGCCUUGAGUCGUGUCGCGGAAAGUCAGGUAAACCUUAUCACUUAGAGGAAGGGGAAGUCGUAACA
This 319-nucleotide ribosomal RNA is filed under the name uncultured eukaryote. Its description in RNAcentral is "partial 18S ribosomal RNA". It matches the Rfam family "Eukaryotic small subunit ribosomal RNA", at positions 1470 to 1796 of the family's 1831-position model. The record is from RNAcentral.